UAAUGUCAUCAUUCCAUCAUCGGAAGAUCAGUACCUCUACUCGGAAGGACGUUAUCCGUACGCAUUAAUCAAACGUGCGCUGAACAGAGACUCCCUGGUGGCUUCUCUCAAUAAUGCGGAACGAUUACGAUUUGGCCGUAAAUAA
This 145-nucleotide unclassified non-coding RNA is filed under the name Caenorhabditis elegans. RNAcentral describes it as "Non-coding transcript of protein-coding gene flp-34". The record is from RNAcentral. Lineage: Eukaryota; Metazoa; Nematoda; Chromadorea; Rhabditida; Rhabditidae.